GACGAACGCUGGCGGCGUGCUUAACACAUGCAAGUCGAACGGUAAGGCUCCAGCUUGCUGGGGUACACGAGUGGCGAACGGGUGAGUAACACGUGGGUGACCUGCCCUGCACUUCGGGAUAAGCCUGGGAAACUGGGUCUAAUACCGGAUAGGACCGCACCGUGAGGGUGUGGUGGAAAGUUUUUUCGGUGUGGGAUGGGCCCGCGGCCUAUCAGCUUGUUGGUGGGGUAAUGGCCUACCAAGGCGGCGACGGGUAGCCGGCCUGAGAGGGUGGACGGCCACAUUGGGACUGAGACACGGCCCAGACUCCUACGGGAGGCAGCAGUGGGGAAUAUUGCACAAUGGGCGGAAGCCUGAUGCAGCGACGCCGCGUGGGGGAUGACGGCCUUCGGGUUGUAAACUCCUUUCACCAUCGACGAAGGGUUUCUGACGGUAGAUGGAGAAGAAGCACCGGCUAACUACGUGCCAGCAGCCGCGGUAAUACGUAGGGUGCGAGCGUUGUCCGGAAUUACUGGGCGUAAAGAGCUCGUAGGUGGUUUGUCGCGUCGUCUGUGAAAUUCCGGGGCUUAACUCCGGGCGUGCAGGCGAUACGGGCAUAACUUGAGUACUGUAGGGGAGACUGGAAUUCCUGGUGUAGCGGUGAAAUGCGCAGAUAUCAGGAGGAACACCGGUGGCGAAGGCGGGUCUCUGGGCGGUAACUGACGCUGAGGAGCGAAAGCAUGGGGAGCGAACAGGAUUAGAUACCCUGGUAGUCCAUGCCGUAAACGGUGGGCGCUAGGUGUGGGUUUCCUUCCACGGGAUCCGUGCCGUAGCUAACGCAUUAAGCGCCCCGCCUGGGGAGUACGGCCGCAAGGCUAAAACUCAAAGGAAUUGACGGGGGCCCGCACAAGCGGCGGAGCAUGUGGAUUAAUUCGAUGCAACGCGAAGAACCUUACCUGGGCUUGACAUAUACAGGAUCGCGCCAGAGAUGGUGUUUCCCUUGUGGCUUGUAUACAGGUGGUGCAUGGUUGUCGUCAGCUCGUGUCGUGAGAUGUUGGGUUAAGUCCCGCAACGAGCGCAACCCUUGUCUUAUGUUGCCAGCACGUUGUGGUGGGGACUCGUAAGAAACUGCCGGGGUUAACUCGGAGGAAGGUGGGGAUGACGUCAAAUCAUCAUGCCCCUUAUGUCCAGGGCUUCACACAUGCUACAAUGGUCGGUACAGUGGGUUGCCAGUCCGUGAGGGCGAGCUAAUCCCGCAAAGCCGGUCUCAGUUCGGAUCGGGGUCUGCAACUCGACCCCGUGAAGUCGGAGUCGCUAGUAAUCGCAGAUCAGCAACGCUGCGGUGAAUACGUUCCCGGGCCU
This 1341-nucleotide ribosomal RNA is filed under the name uncultured bacterium. RNAcentral describes it as "partial 16S ribosomal RNA". It matches the Rfam family "Bacterial small subunit ribosomal RNA", at positions 28 to 1381 of the family's 1533-position model. The record is from RNAcentral.